Long non-coding RNA from Arabidopsis thaliana (thale cress), 281 nucleotides. RefSeq annotates it as other RNA. Lineage: Eukaryota; Viridiplantae; Streptophyta; Magnoliopsida; Brassicales; Brassicaceae. The transcript has a single exon. The record is from RefSeq.
AUAGGUUCCUUCUACUGCAAGCAUACCCAUGUAGUUGAAAUACUGCAAAAAACAUCACGAACACAUAAAAUUUAUAUUUAUGUAUACAUAAAAGUUAUAUUCAAUGUAGCUCUAUGUAAUGCUUCUUCACAUCUACAACUAAAGAUUGCAAUUCAAGUAGCAAACUUGACGAUUUGAUUCAUCAGAAUCCAACCUAAGCGUCUUCUGACUUCUUGGUCGAAACAUAAAUCAAUCUGAUUCUUAGUCAAGGGAAAAACCUGUUCGACGUCGUCUCUGUCGAA